UACGUAGGGAGCAAGCGUUGUCCGGAAUCAUUGGGCGUAAAGCGCGCGUAGGUGGCCACAUAAGUCCGUUGUGAAAGUCAAAGGCUCAACCUUUGAAAGCCGAUGGAUACUGUGUGGCUAGAGUACGGAAGAGGCGAGUGGAAUUCCUGGUGUAGCGGUGGAAUGCGCAGAUAUCAGGAAGAACACCAACGGCGAAGGCAGCUCGCUGGGACGGUACUGACGCUGAGACGCGAAAGCGUGGGGAGCGAACAGG
This 253-nucleotide ribosomal RNA is filed under the name uncultured bacterium. Its description in RNAcentral is "partial 16S ribosomal RNA". It matches the Rfam family "Bacterial small subunit ribosomal RNA", at positions 524 to 776 of the family's 1533-position model. The record is from RNAcentral.